This 813-nucleotide ribosomal RNA is filed under the name Triticum aestivum (bread wheat). RNAcentral's name for it is "partial small subunit ribosomal RNA". Lineage: Eukaryota; Viridiplantae; Streptophyta; Magnoliopsida; Poales; Poaceae. The record is from RNAcentral.
AUGAUGGAUGAUGAGUUAUUCAAGUUGGACACUGAGCCUUUGGGGGUUUAUUCCGAAGAUGCAACCAAUGAUGACAAGCCCCUGGAGGAUGAACCUCAGAAUGAGCGGACAUGUGAUGAUGAUUUCAAGCACCUGUCGCAGAAUGCAGAAGAUCGUGUGCUAGCUUUUGAGGAACUUGAUGAAGAUAAUCUGAUGGGGCAGUUAUUUGCCGAGAAUCCCCUGGAGCUGGCUAACUAUGCAAUGAAUCACGUGCCAAUGUAUGAUGACCAUGAUUAUGGUCCUGAUCGGGUGCACAAAAUUCAGUGUACUCUGGCGCAUUCACAGCGAUAUGCAGCACAUGGUCUCGACAUGCUGGCACACGCCGAACUGUUGUACACCCAGCUUCGGAGUGAUAUACGGUCUGACCGUGUACCAGAGCCUCUCCUCGAGGGGACCAUUCAGUGGGCCGAACAGAUGGCUGCGUACGCAGAAGUUCUGGACGAUUACAGCGAUGAGGUGCAUGAGUCUGCAUUAUACCUGAUUCGCUUUGAGUUGGAAGGUCCCAUGCUUGCAAGGCACGAUCAGUUGGUAACCGUGGCAGACCAGUUACUAGGAGAGCAGAGGAACAUGAGAGCGCGGGUCAGAUGGGCACGGGAAUACAUUGAGCAGCGGCAGGCAUGGUACCAGGAGAGCCUCAAGUUUCUGCAUCUGGACUUUUACAAUGGAGAAGCGCAGCAGCAAGCCAACAGUGCCCAAGAUGUGGAGGCGCAAGCUGUUGAGGAUCAAGUGAAUGUGCAGGGGAACGCUGUGGAGAAGCAGAAUCUUGAGGAUUAG